AUGACACCAUUACCUCAUCCUCUUCGCUCAGUAAAAAAAACGCCGUUGUGGGAGCAAUCUGGACAGUGUGUCACGAAAACGCCGCUUCGUUUGUGUCGAUGUGAGGAAGGAAACAUCUACAAUCGAGGUUUUUGAUCUAGAAUGUGAGAUGGGAUCUGAACUUCAACUGAAUCUAAAGUCUGCACUGCUCGGACUUUACCGUGGACGCUUGCUUCCCGUUCCGCAGUUGGUGAUGACCAACCACCAGAUGUUUGGGCUCCAUGGGAAGCUCCAUCUCUCCAGAAACGGUGGUUUUGGAAUCUCACAAGGGUAGUUUCCUUACCGCAUGUGCGGGCUAAGGUGUGUCAGAGGCAACCUGGAAUCAUUCAUCACUCUUUCAGAUUCCUCGUCCUGUUGACGCGACAUUGAAGAAGCCAACGACAGUUAGUCAACUCCUUUGGACCCAUCUACAAGCUGGAGCAGCAGCAGCAUAUCCCACCUUCUUCUUAGCUUCCAUGUGCAUGUAUCUGGCAUUGGAGGGUGCUGUUGUUGGAUCUGUGGACCAUCUCGAUUAGAUCGGUAACAGAUUCACCGCAUGCUUCCGCAUUUUGCAAUGCGAUCGACUUGGCGUUAUGCCGUGUGGAGAACCUUUAUCGAUAGAACAAUGCUAGACUCAGUUGCUUUGGUGAAAAUAAUCCAGUUGUCGUUGCUAGAGGAUUUAUUAUGAGGAAGUAUUAUUACAAGAGGAGUUUAAUGACAUUGAAAUUAGUACAUUAAUCACUGCAUUGUUUUAAAUUACACAAGAGCUAUUUAUUUCGAAACUUUCUGUAACAUCAU
This is a non-coding RNA of Physcomitrium patens, 816 nucleotides long. The record is from RefSeq and is a predicted model, not a curated record. Lineage: Eukaryota; Viridiplantae; Streptophyta; Bryopsida; Funariales; Funariaceae.